RNAcentral lists this ribosomal RNA (253 nucleotides) under uncultured bacterium. RNAcentral's name for it is "partial 16S ribosomal RNA". It matches the Rfam family "Bacterial small subunit ribosomal RNA", at positions 524 to 776 of the family's 1533-position model. The record is from RNAcentral.
UACGGAGGGGGCAAGCGUUAUUCGGAAUUAUUGGGCGUAAAGGGCGCGUAGGCGGCUAGAUGUGUCAAAGGUGAAAUCCCUCGGCUCAACUGAGGAACUGCCUUUGAAACUGUCUGGCUUGAGGCCGGGAGAGGGUAGCGGAAUUCCCAGUGUAGCGGUGAAAUGCGUAGAUAUCUGGAGGAAUACCGGUGGCGAAGGCGGCAUCCUGGACCGACAUUGACGCUGAUGAGCGAAAGCUAGGGGAGCAAACGGG